This 690-nucleotide long non-coding RNA is filed under the name Homo sapiens (human). Its description in RNAcentral is "non-protein coding lnc-SPAG16-7:2". Lineage: Eukaryota; Metazoa; Chordata; Mammalia; Primates; Hominidae. The record is from RNAcentral.
GAUAUAUUGGAAAUUAAGUCAUCAACAGUACCUUAAGCACCACUCUGUAGGUAAUUUUGGAUAGUGUCUUUUCUUUACAUUUUGAUAUAGGGAAGGAAUUAAUUCACAUCGACACAAACGAAGUAAUGGAUACCAUAUAACUUGUGUGAUACUGUAGCUUUUAUAAUGAAUUACUUCUUGAAAGUUUUUUUUCCUAUACAAUGUAUUAUUAAACAAUUGUAACGAUAGUCUCUUUUUGUUUAACUAUAGAAAAUGGUAGAUAGUGUGGUACAGCAAACAAGAUUAACAAAUUUUCGUUGGAGAGAAAUUAUUUGGGCUCAGGCUUGCAAUAACAUUAUGAUGAUUUUAAGAAAAAUUGCAGUUCCUGUGAGUUAUAUAUUGAUAAGGCAGAUUUUUAAACACUUAGUUGCUAAAAUUAGUUUUCCUAAAGUCGUAUUUGGGAAAGUCUGAGUAGAGAACCAGUAAGUCACUCUAAUCAUCCCAACAGAGAGCAAAUAUUUUAGUCUUAAAUUACCUCAAAAAAUCUGUAUGUCGUUUAUAAUAUGUAAAUGCACAAUAUGUAAAGGAUAACAUAAGUUCUCGAAAUUGUCAUAAGUCCUUCCUAAAAACUGAACCUAAGUGUUUAGGUAUCUGUACUGUUACAGAGAUCCUUGAAAAUAUGAAAUAAAGAUAAUCGAAAUUAAGAUGAAA